This is a small nuclear RNA of Meriones unguiculatus (Mongolian gerbil), 113 nucleotides long. Lineage: Eukaryota; Metazoa; Chordata; Mammalia; Rodentia; Muridae. The record is from Ensembl.
GUACCCCAUUUCUUCUUGGCUGCACAUAUACUAAAAGUGGGAUAAAACAGAGAAGAUUAGCGUGGCCCCUGCACAAGGAUGUAGCCCAUUUUUUUAAAUUGGAUUACUUGGUU